Molecule: ribosomal RNA, 423 nt
Filed under: uncultured bacterium
Lineage: Bacteria
Description: bacterial SSU rRNA
Rfam family: Bacterial small subunit ribosomal RNA
Source: RNAcentral
UGGGGAAUAUUGCGCAAUGGGCGAAAGCCUGACGCAGCGACGCCGCGUGAGUGAAGAAGUCUUUCGGGAUGUAAAGCUCUGUCACGAGGAACGAUAAUGACGGUACCUCGAGAGGAAGCCCCGGCAAACUACGUGCCAGCAGCCGCGGUAAUACGUAGGGGGCAAGCGUUAUCCGGAUUUACUGGGCAUAAAGGGCGCGUAGGUGGUGUUUUAAGUCAGGUGUUAAAGCCUCCAGCUUAACUGGAGUACGCACUUGAUACUGAAAUACUUGAGUACAGGAGAGGGAAGCGGAACCCAUGGUGUAGCGGUGAAAUGCGUAGAUAUCAUGGGGAACACCAGUUGCGAAGGCGGCUUCCUGGACUGUUACUGACACUGAGGCGCGAAAGCGUGGGGAGCAAACAGGAUUAGAUACCCCCGUAGUCC